GGGGCAGAAUACAAUACAGGGCAAUUGUCUUGUAAUUGGAAUGAUGGUGACGUAAAAUCUCACCAGAGUAACAAUUGGAGGGCAAGUCUGGUGCCAGCAGCCGCGGUAAUUCCAGCUCCAAUAGCGUAUAUUAAACUUGUUGCAGUUAAAAAGCUCGUAGUUGAAUUUCUGCGUUGCCCGACUCGGCUACUUGCCUUGUCUGGUUUCGCUUUUGGGGUUUUCCCCUUUUUACUUUGAGAAAAUUAGAGUGUUUCAAGCAGACUUGUGUCUUGAAUACUUCAGCAUGGAAUAAUAAAGUAGGACUUUGGUUCUAUUUUGUUGGUUUGUGAACCUUAGUAAUGGUUAAUAGGAACGGUUGGGGGCAUUCGUAUUUAAA
RNAcentral lists this ribosomal RNA (376 nucleotides) under Babesia gibsoni. RNAcentral describes it as "SSU rRNA". It matches the Rfam family "Eukaryotic small subunit ribosomal RNA", at positions 470 to 902 of the family's 1831-position model. Lineage: Eukaryota; Apicomplexa; Aconoidasida; Piroplasmida; Babesiidae. The record is from RNAcentral.